RNAcentral lists this transfer RNA (64 nucleotides) under Cavia porcellus (domestic guinea pig). It matches the Rfam family "tRNA". From Rfam's summary of the family: Transfer RNA (tRNA) molecules are approximately 80 nucleotides in length. Their secondary structure includes four short double-helical elements and three loops (D, anti-codon, and T loops). Lineage: Eukaryota; Metazoa; Chordata; Mammalia; Rodentia; Caviidae. The record is from Rfam by way of RNAcentral.
GGGGAUUUAGCUCAGUGGCAUAAGCACCUGCCUUACAAGCAGGCGGUUGUGAGUUCAAUCCCCG